AUGUGUGAUCACAUCCACACAUGCAUAUCAAGGACCCAUAGUCUUACCAUCUCACUGUGCCGCGAGCCCAACGUUGAACGACAAUUGGUUGUAGCAGUCGAGGUUAUUCCCGUAGCCGAUGCCGAAGAUGUCACAAUAGCGCUUGUAGAACCCGAUCCGAUCCGCCACCUUGUCGUUCUGCCCCAUGCCGCAUUCGAUCCCGCCGUUGAUGACGUUGGUGAUGACACCAUACCCGGGUACCCGUCCGGCUGCGCUAUCCCUGGCCGUCGGAGUCCACAGCCCCGUGAUCACGUCAUGGCACGACGGCUUGUUGGACUGCGUCGUCAUCCAGAACCAUAUCGCCGUCUUGAACGCCACUGUCGGGUCCGUGGCCACCAGGUCCGGAUUGUUCAGCAGGUCCACCCCGAUUGCGCGGCCCGCCGGUCCGUAGUUGUAGUUGCUGAAUCAAUCCAGCAUGAAACAAUCAGGCCAACAAAGACACUACACUUUUUAUGUUUUUACCAAUCCAAAGUUCCAAACAAUAUCAUAUCAAGUGAGUGA
RNAcentral lists this ribosomal RNA (540 nucleotides) under Triticum aestivum (bread wheat). RNAcentral describes it as "partial small subunit ribosomal RNA". The record is from RNAcentral. Lineage: Eukaryota; Viridiplantae; Streptophyta; Magnoliopsida; Poales; Poaceae.